Molecule: ribosomal RNA, 370 nt
Filed under: uncultured bacterium
Lineage: Bacteria
Description: bacterial SSU rRNA
Rfam family: Bacterial small subunit ribosomal RNA
Source: RNAcentral
AACGAACGCUGGCGGCAUGCCUAACACAUGCAAGUCGAACGAAGCCUUCGGGCUUAGUGGCGCACGGGUGCGUAACGCGUGGGAAUCUGCCCUUGGGUUCGGAAUAACAGUUAGAAAUGACUGCUAAUACCGAAUGAUGUCUUCGGACCAAAGAUUUAUCGCCCAAGGAUGAGCCCGCGUCGGAUUAGCUAGUUGGUGAGGUAAAGGCUCACCAAGGCGACGAUCCGUAGCUGGUCUGAGAGGAUGAUCAGCCACACUGGGACUGAGACACGGCCCAGACUCCUACGGGAGGCAGCAGUGGGGAAUAUUGGACAAUAGGGCGGAAAGGACCUACGAUCCACGCAAUAGCGCGCGAGUGAUGAAGGCCGUU